RNAcentral lists this long non-coding RNA (769 nucleotides) under Cricetulus griseus (Chinese hamster). RNAcentral describes it as "lncRNA (ENSCGRG00015037848.1)". The record is from RNAcentral. Lineage: Eukaryota; Metazoa; Chordata; Mammalia; Rodentia; Cricetidae.
CUGUGAGCUCUGGUUUAGCCUAUUAAGAACUGUUUUACUUGGCUACUUUGUGACAUGAACGUUUGCCAUUCGUUUACCAGUUACAGUGGGCACCAUUGGAAAAUGCAGUUUCAUAAUUACUUCAGUAUUUACAUUCUUCAGGGAUGAAUCAUAGCAAUUGAAUGAUGCUGUUUAAGAAUCAAUGUAGGAGUGGCUCUUUCAGAGCCUCAUGACAUACAUUAAAUAUCCAUCACUUUAUCACUGACUGUUGGGCUCAUGCAGCCCUUCCUACCAUAGAAGGAAGAGCCAACAUGUGGCCUUGAACCCAGAUGACUAUGUACUGUCCAUGGAAUAUCUGCAGUUCUUAGGCUCCUGAGCAUUCAUGCUUUCUGGCCAUUUGUAGUUUAUCUGUUGGACUUCUAAGCCUUUUAGGAGAUAAUCUCCUUGCUGUGGAAUGCUGGGUUUGUGGAAGCAUUGCAUUUUGCGUCACUGAGUAUCAGCAAAACUGCCUCUGAGCUAUGCAGACAUAUUGGGACGAGCACAGAAAGGGCUGGCUGGUGCAGCAAGGGGCCAGCUGCUGUAAGAGAAGCACAUUACCAAUUGCUGAAGCUGUUAAGAAAUUGCAGUAUCUCUUGUGAUAAACAAGAACCAUUGAAUCCAGAGGAAUCCCGAUAAGCCACACUACUUCCUGGAAAAUGUCUUGGGGGGGGGGAAGCACUGUUAUUAAAAUUGUAUGUAAAUUUUAGAAAGCAUGAAUUAAAACUGAAACAAAUCUAAAAAGCAUUUUUUU